RNAcentral lists this ribosomal RNA (120 nucleotides) under uncultured bacterium. Its description in RNAcentral is "partial 16S ribosomal RNA". It matches the Rfam family "Bacterial small subunit ribosomal RNA", at positions 336 to 455 of the family's 1533-position model. The record is from RNAcentral.
CUCCUACGGGAGGCAGCAGUGGGGAAUAUUGGACAAUGGGCGAAAGCCUGAUCCAGCAAUGCCGCGUGAGUGAUGAAGGCCUUAGGGUUGUAAAGCUCUUUUACCCGGGAUGAUAAUGAC